This 1189-nucleotide small RNA is filed under the name Plasmodium gaboni. The record is from RNAcentral. Lineage: Eukaryota; Apicomplexa; Aconoidasida; Haemosporida; Plasmodiidae.
UUGUAUGUUAAUUUCAUAUUGUAUAAAAAGUGUAUCUUGUUCAUGUAGCCUCAUUAUUUAAUGUUACAUGUGUUUUUAUAAUAGUAUUCCUCAUUUCAUAUUAGUACAUAUAUAUUAAUCAAAGUAGUUUUGCAUAAUCUCUAUAAGUAUAUAUGUAAAGAUAUAAUAUAAUAAUUCUUUUAUACAUACACAAUUUAUUAUCUUUGUAUUCAUACUAUUUUUCUACAUAUAUAAAUGUAUGUAUUACUUUUUUUUUUCUCUGUUUUUUUUAUUCAUCUUUUAUUUUAUUAAUUUAGUAUUCUAUUCAUGCUUGUUUUCCUUGUAAUUUUUGUUUUAUUACUAAGGACACAUACAUACUAGACAAGCUAACAUUUCAUCAUUUGUUUUGAUAUAUAUAUAUAUAUAUAUAUAUAUAUUUGUUAAUAGAAAACUUUUUUUUUUUUUUUUUAUACAUGUAUUUUUUUAUACUCCCUAUAUAAUAUAUGCGAAUUAUUCAUAUAUCAUAUUUUCUAUUCAUAUAAUAUGCAUGUGUUGUUGCAUAAGGAGUAUCUUAUAUCAUCUUAUUUAAUAUUUAUAUUAUUUAUAUUAUGAUAUGUUUUAUUGCUUAUUCUUUUUUAACUUUUUAAUAUUAUUUGUUUUUUUUUAUUAUUAUUUUUAUUUAUGGUAUAUUCAAGAACACAGUAGUCUAUAGAUCUUAAUUCAUCUUUUAUUUCUUUUAUAUAUCAUCUAAGUUUUUAUAAUAUAUAUAACAUGCGCAUUUAUUUAUACCUAUACAUUUUAAUACAUAUAAUAUAUAUAGAUAUAGAUUAAUAGAAAAAACAUUUAUAAUUUAAAGAAUAUACAUUUUAAGAUAUUAGACGAGUAUACAUGGUGUUGAUAAGGAUUUAUUUAUUUUUAUUUAUUUAUUUAUUUAUUUAUUUUUAUAUGUAAUUUUGUUGCCCUUUCAUAUAUGUAUAUCUCGGUCUUAUUUUGAUUUUAUAUAUUUACACUAAAACGUAAGAGUGCAUUUUUGUGAUACCCACCUUGUUAUAGUUUUAUUUAAAUUAUUGUUAUAUUAUAUUAUAUUUUUAAAUGUAUAUAUAUAUAUAUAUAUAUAUAUAUAUAUAUAUAUAUAUAUAUAUAUUUACAACGUUGUGUAAGAAUUGAACAGGAAUUAUAUACAAAGCAAAGAAAAAGAGAAAAUAAAACA